Long non-coding RNA from Felis catus (domestic cat), 3523 nucleotides. RefSeq lists it as uncharacterized. Lineage: Eukaryota; Metazoa; Chordata; Mammalia; Carnivora; Felidae. The record is from RefSeq and is a predicted model, not a curated record. The transcript is spliced from 3 exons.
UAUCUUUGUCUCUCUCUCAAAAAUAAACAUUAAAAAAAAUUAGAAAGGGGAAUUUUACAAGGUUUCUACAAUUAUAGUUCUACUAAAUUGCUUGCUUUACAGUUUCCUUUCUAUCUUCCCAAAGUUUUUCAUGUCUUUUCCUGGUCCAGAAUGCCUAGCAAUUUCUAAGUAUGUAGACCAUAAUAAAUUAACACCUUCUCCAUGCCCCAAAAGGACAUUUUUAUAGAACUUUCAAAGGUUCUUUCACAUGGUUACCCAAGUUUCUCUUGGCCCUCAAUAGAGAAGUUAAGUGAUCUGCCCAAGGUCACAGAGCUGAUGAGUGAUAAAAGAUGGAUGAAUCAUAUCCAAUGACCAUGAGGGAGGGUUCUUGGUGCUAUAUUAUCCUCAUAUACAAGGAUGAUGUUACUCACCUACCAUUGUCACACUCACAUUUUAAGUUGCUAUACUAAUGACAAUGAUGGAUUUGCUUUGAUCCACCCAUAUAUUCCUAUCUUCAUUCAUGACCUACAGAGUAUGUUGUUGUUUUUUUAAAUAUUCAAUUAAUUAUGUAAGAUCCAGCAAUUACAUAAGAUGCAGGAGUGGCCAAUUUUUAAAUCUCUACAAUAAGAUUCUCUAACCAAUUGAUUGAUUUUUAGAGAGAGAGUAUGCAAGCAGGGAAGAGGGGCAGAGGGAGAGAGAAAAUCUUAAGCAGGCUCCAUGCUCAGCACAGAGCCCAAUCCAGGGUCCUAUCCCACCAUCCAAGGUGCAUGACCUGAGCCGAAUCAAGAGUCAGAUGCUCAACUGACUGAGCCACCCAGGCACCCCUCUAACCAGCUAAUUUAAAUAGAGACCUGUCAUGGUGGAUAUCAAUCAACAAGGCACCAAUUAAUUAGCUCCAGGAAUAUUUAUAUAAUGAGUCAGGCCUGGGCCUAAGUCUUGACAGGUGUUCAGUCUUAUUUGUAUUUCGGUAAUGCUAUUUGUUGUUGUCUAAUGUUUUAAUGUAUUUUUAUUACACAAAGGUUUCUUGGUGAAGGGCAUGGAUUUUUUAAAAGCAAUUAGUAAAUUAUGAAUCGUCUGAUACAUAUUUUAUGAUGACUGAAGUGAUCAAGUCAAAACUACAUUUAUGUAUCAUGUGUUUUUAAAACAAACAUUUUAUUUAAUUAUUUUUUAUUUCUAAUCCACUGAGAAAUCUAAGAAAAAAGCAUGAAGGAACAGAGGAACAGAAGCAGAAAAGGGCAAUCAAUGUUAAAAGACUUGGACUGGAUUACUGAACAAAAAGCAUUUGGACUGAAUCACUGAACAAACCAGAGACAUACAGUGUAUUACAGGCUGGGAUCCAAGUACAGAUGUUAUACUCACCUCCAACUGGUUCACUGCUUACCUUUCUCCUUAUUUAGUGGAACGAACUUCUGAGAACUGUAAGCCAUCUGGCAUGCUGCCCUCCUUAAGGUUAAAGUGGAUCCUUAACUGUCAGGUACUGACUGGUGGGUUUGAAGCUAGGUGACAUUUUGAACAAAUUAAAAGGUGAUCUGCUAAUGCACACAUUUCAUACAGGUUUUUGAAUUGUUUCUUUUUAUUCUUUUUGAUUUCUCCCUAAAUAUUAUGUUUCUUUUGAUCUACUGUGAGGAGAGUUUUUCUUCCUAGGGUCUCUGGAUUACCUGUCCACAACCUCCCCCUUCAAAUAAACCCUCAGAUUAAGUCUUGACUACCUUUAGCACUGUGAACUUAGAUAAAAUAGUGAGAAGGGGAAGUUGCCUAGAAUUAAAGCUUUCAAAAUGCUUCUUCACAUCACCUUGGCACCAUUAUGGGGCUAUUUAAACCAUGGAAAUUAUGUGUAUCACUGAAAUGUAUCUAUUUUUCUUCUUUACUGUCAAUAUGUAUUGUAAAUGUAUUUAAGUAAGUAAAUGUCAGAAUUAUAGAAAUGUUUAUACUUUUUCAUUCUUUUCUGUUUUCCUCUUGGCAGUCUAACAGGUGUGGUCUCUCCACAUUUACAACAUUGCUGCUUUUUUCUUAAGAGUCCCAAGAGACUAUAGUGGAGUCUGUGUCUAACCACACCUAAACAAGUGAUAGAUUAAAAGACAAAUAUUAUCAGUUGUUUGGAUACCUUGUUUACCCUUGCCAAAACUAACUGAUUAAAUGGCUACGUAUUUAAGAGAAAAAAAUAGGUAAAGUUAAAACAAAGUUAAGAGAGUAAUAAAGGACUCAUUUUUCAUUUCCAAACAUUGGUCUAUAUAGACAGGCAAUGUUGAAUGUGUCAAAAGAUUAUGCCUAUGUAACAUCUUUCAAAUGCUAAUCAAGGGAUUAUAUGCAUAUUCUAUUAUUUGUAUGUUCAGGAGGCAAAGGAUAUUUUCUACACAUUAUGUGCUUUUGUCAAUGUCAUUAAAAGUAAUCUCUUCCUAUUCACUUAACAUGACUACUAAUUUCAGGUAGUUAGAUAAUAACUAUUGUAUCCUAUAUGAAACUCUUGUAUAAAAGAUACACAGAUUUUAAAGUGUAUGAGUAAUAGUAACUUUACAGUGGAGAAACCUGGUAGACAACCCCUUAACCAAGUAAAAAGUCAUUUUGAUAGCACCUCCACAGGGUGUGAUGACACGAGCACAUCAUGUCUGUGGUAUUCUUCCCCAAACUCUGCAACUUCAGUCUAUUCAUGAGAAAAUAUCAGGCAAACCUAAACUGAAGGACAUCCUACAAAAUACUUGAUCUCUACUCCUCAGAAGUAUCAAGAUCAUGAAAGACAAGGAAAGAGCAAGAGACAGUCACAGAUCAGAACAGACUAAGAACACAUGAUGCCUAAAUGCAAUGUGGUAUCCUUUAUACCCAGAAAAAUAACAUUACCAGAAGAACUGUGGAAAUUUAAAUGAAGGCUAUAGUUUGGUUUAUAAUAUCAUACCAACAUUCAUUUCUUAGUUUUUUCUUAUAAAUGUACUGAAGAAAUAUAAGAAGUUAACAAAAGGAAACUGGGUGAAGGGUAUACAGAAACAUUCUGUGCUAUCCUUGCAACUCUUCUAUAAAGCUAAAAUUAUUUUGAAAGAAAAAGUUUAUCUAAAAAUGAACUUGUAACUCUGAGAGCUUAUUUAUAAGUUUGUUAAUUCAACAUACUUAAAUAAAAUAGAGCAGAGCAAGAAGUUCCAUUCUGGUAUAUAGCUAUAUCUAAAGAUCGUUAUCUAUAUUUAUAUCUGUAUCUGCAUCUAAAUAUAGAGAUAGGCACACACAAAUACUCACACAUACACAUAAGUACACAUACACAUUAGCUUUCUCAGUAAGGAUAAGAUGACAGGGAUGAGAAGUGUAUUCUGGUUUACUGUAGACAAUAAGAUGCACAGAAACUAUCAAGUCCCAAUGAAAUCUGGGAUUUCUGUUUAAUAUUCAUAUCUCUUUCUCUCCUAAGCCCAUUAGCUCACUUCUCCAUAAUGCAUCAGUUCAUAGUGACAUCUAUAAAAGUGUUUCUUGCCAGUUUGUUCCUUCUAAAAUUCUUACUCCUUUUCCCAUCUGGCUUUGCAAAUACAUAAAAUAUCUGUGUUGCAUCACAUUAUUUAAAGCAGCC